RNAcentral lists this ribosomal RNA (740 nucleotides) under uncultured bacterium. RNAcentral describes it as "bacterial SSU rRNA". It matches the Rfam family "Bacterial small subunit ribosomal RNA", at positions 153 to 881 of the family's 1533-position model. The record is from RNAcentral.
GAAACGACUGCUAAUACCGCAUAAGCGCACAGGAUUGCAUGAUCCAGUGUGAAAAACUCCGGUGGUAUGAGAUGGACCCGCGUCUGAUUAGCCAGUUGGCAGGGUAACGGCCUACCAAAGCGACGAUCAGUAGCCGACCUGAGAGGGUGACCGGCCACAUUGGGACUGAGACACGGCCCAAACUCCUACGGGAGGCAGCAGUGGGGGAAAUAAUUUGCAACAAAUGGGGGGGAAAACCCCCUGAAAUGGCAGGGCGAAACGCCCGGCGUGGAGGCGGAAGGAAGUAUUUUCGGUAUGCUCACCACGCUCUAUCAGCAGGGAAGAAGAAUGACGGUACCUGACUAAGAAGCACCGGCUAAAUACGUGCCAGCAGCCGCGGUAAUACGUAUGGUGCAAGCGUUAUCCGGAUUUACUGGGUGUAAAGGGAGCGCAGGCGGUGCGGCAAGUCUGAUGUGAAAGCCCGGGGCUCAACCCCGGUACUGCAUUGGAAACUGUCGUACUAGAGUGUCGGAGGGGUAAGUGGAAUUCCUAGUGUAGCGGUGAAAUGCGUAGAUAUUAGGAGGAACACCAGUGGCGAAGGCGGCUUACUGGACGAUAACUGACGCUGAGGCUCGAAAGCGUGGGGAGCAAACAGGAUUAGAUACCCUGGUAGUCCACGCCGUAAACGAUGAACACUAGGUGUCGGGGAGCAUUGCUCUUCGGUGCCGCAGCAAACGCAAUAAGUAUUCCACCUGGGGAGU